AUAUUCUUAGUUCAGUGGGAGAACGGCGGGCUCCAAAACCGAAGACAAAGGUUCGAAUCCUUUAGAGUGUG
Molecule: transfer RNA, 71 nt
Filed under: Bacteriophage sp.
Also listed under: 1 other name
Description: tRNA-Trp
Rfam family: tRNA
About the family: Transfer RNA (tRNA) molecules are approximately 80 nucleotides in length.
Source: RNAcentral